Molecule: ribosomal RNA, 1269 nt
Filed under: Psychrobacter sp. 306
Lineage: Bacteria; Pseudomonadati; Pseudomonadota; Gammaproteobacteria; Moraxellales; Moraxellaceae
Description: bacterial SSU rRNA
Rfam family: Bacterial small subunit ribosomal RNA
Source: RNAcentral
AUCUACCUAGUAGUGGGGGAUAGCACGGGGAAACUCGUAUUAAUACCGCAUACGACCUACGGGAGAAAGGGGGCAGUUUACUGCUCUCGCUAUUAGAUGAGCCUAAGUCGGAUUAGCUAGAUGGUGGGGUAAAGGCCUACCAUGGCGACGAUCUGUAGCUGGUCUGAGAGGAUGAUCAGCCACACCGGGACUGAGACACGGCCCGGACUCCUACGGGAGGCAGCAGUGGGGAAUAUUGGACAAUGGGGGCAACCCUGAUCCAGCCAUGCCGCGUGUGUGAAGAAGGCCUUUUGGUUGUAAAGCACUUUAAGCAGUGAAGAAGACUCCAUGGUUAAUACCCAUGGACGAUGACAUUAGCUGCAGAAUAAGCACCGGCUAACUCUGUGCCAGCAGCCGCGGUAAUACAGAGGGUGCAAGCGUUAAUCGGAAUUACUGGGCGUAAAGGGAGCGUAGGUGGCUCGAUAAGUCAGAUGUGAAAUCCCCGGGCUCAACCUGGGAACUGCAUCUGAUACUGUUGAGCUAGAGUAUGUGAGAGGAAGGUAGAAUUCCAGGUGUAGCGGUGAAAUGCGUAGAGAUCUGGAGGAAUACCGAUGGCGAAGGCAGCCUUCUGGCAUAAUACUGACACUGAGGCUCGAAAGCGUGGGUAGCAAACAGGAUUAGAUACCCUGGUAGUCCACGCCGUAAACGAUGUCUACUAGUCGUUGGGUCCCUUGAGGACUUAGUGACGCAGCUAACGCAAUAAGUAGACCGCCUGGGGAGUACGGCCGCAAGGUUAAAACUCAAAUGAAUUGACGGGGGCCCGCACAAGCGGUGGAGCAUGUGGUUUAAUUCGAUGCAACGCGAAGAACCUUACCUGGUCUUGACAUAUCUAGAAUCCUGCAGAGAUGCGGGAGUGCCUUCGGGAAUUAGAAUACAGGUGCUGCAUGGCUGUCGUCAGCUCGUGUCGUGAGAUGUUGGGUUAAGUCCCGCAACGAGCGCAACCCUUGUCCUUAGUUACCAGCGGGUUAAGCCGGGAACUCUAAGGAUACUGCCAGUGACAAACUGGAGGAAGGCGGGGACGACGUCAAGUCAUCAUGGCCCUUACGACCAGGGCUACACACGUGCUACAAUGGUAGGUACAGAGGGCAGCUACACAGCGAUGUGAUGCGAAUCUCAAAAAGCCUAUCGUAGUCCAGAUUGGAGUCUGCAACUCGACUCCAUGAAGUAGGAAUCGCUAGUAAUCGCGGAUCAGAAUGCCGCGGUGAAUACGUUCCCGGGCCUUGUACACAC